CACAGAGCCCGACACGGGACUCGAACUCACGGACUGUGAGAUCACGACCUGAGCUGAAGUCGGAUGCUUAACUGACUGAGCCACCCAGGUGCCCUCUAUUAGCUCUUUUGUAGAUUCCACUGGAUUUUCUACAUAACCAGUCAAGUCAUCUAUAAAUAAGGACAGUUCUUACUUCUUCCUUUUCAAUCUGGAUGCAUUUUGUAUUGAUUGUUGUACAUGCAAGAUUUUAAUUGUAGAGGUGACUGAGUGAUGACACAGAGCUAAUGCCAUUGAAGGAAAUUUUCUAUAAUUUUUAUUUCCUAAGAGAAGGGAAAAUGCCAUGUCAUUAGAGGGCCACCUGGGGAAACACUAGAGGAGGUAGAGGCAAGAACAAGCAGAAAGCAUAGACCACAGACUUAAUCGUGUUUUCACCAGGCAAGACAUGGCAAAGAAGGGGAAACAGCUUAGGAUUGGUGGGCUUUGGGCUACAACUGCUAUCGCUAGUUGCCUGGAAUCCAGCACAGGGUUGACUCAGGGCAGAAGAAAUAUUGGCCUGGUGUGUGAAAGUUAGAUAAAAGAAGUGGUUUAGAGUAUGGGCCCCAUGGGUUAGUUUGUAUAUGAGAGACAUGCUCCUAGGACAGCCCUUUGCAAGUUCUAAGAAUAGGCUAGCCUUGGGAGGGGCCAUCUCUUCCCAGUCAGCAAGGCCACAAGUGCCAGAGCAUCAAGAAUGCAGACAAUUAAAAAAAAAAAAAAAGUUAAUACAAUUGCCAUGUGAUGAAUGAAUGCCAAAUACAUAAAUACAGAUUCUCAGAAAACACAGAACAAUUUUACCUAUUUGUCUUGCCUUAUUGCAUGAGCUGGAAUGUCCAUCACAAUGAAUGGGGGCAGUGAGAGCAGACCUCUUUGCCUUACUCCUGAUCUUGGGGGGAAAAGAGGAGCAGGGUGAGGUGCCAUGGAUGGGGAAGGGACUGGAACAGUGACAGAUGUGGCCAAUGAAGAAGGGAGAACAGAAACUUAGUAGAACUUGGAGGAAGAUCUAAGGCCGUAUUCUCAAAUUGUGAUCCACAGCUCAUAGUCCUCACUCUGUCCCUGCUUCUGAUCACACUCCUGACCCCUCCCCCACAGCCACCCCCUGGGCUAAAAGGCUGCAUUUAGGCUCUGCCCAUCCAGGACAGGGAGGAUGCUACCUGGACAGGGAGGAUGAACAAACACAAAGACCACACACCAUCUGUGAGCAGAAAUCAUGUCUCCUAAUUUCAAGUGUCAUAGGGAUCCUACUGGGGCCAGGGGCUUGAACAUGACAUGGAAUGUGCAGCUUGCAUCUAGGGAGAUUGUAUAUGGGAGAGGCAGGGCCUGAGGCACCCAGGCGACAGGUACUCUGCCAAAGUGACCCAGAGCCUGUUGAGUAAACAUGGCACGCUGCCCAACAGAAGGGGCUGGGGCACCCCCUAGUGGGGUCCAGCCCCCUCCUUGGGUGACCUGGCAAAGAAGAGACUGUCCAGCCAGAUUCCACAGCCAGGGAGGUAAGGUGGGAAUAAAAUUCAGGUGUCACCCCUCAGGGCAGGCCACCCUCUAGAGGAACUGCCAAAAAGGCAGUCGGUCCUUUGUCCUCUCUUCUGUCCACCUUUCCAGCUGUCACCAUUCACCUAAACGUCUUUCACAGCCCAGUGGACUCCAUGACAUUAAGGCUGCUUCCUGAUGGUGCCUCAGUUUCCUGAUGGUGAAAAUAGAAAAACAACAAAUCCACCACCCAAUGUUGUAGGGCUGAAAAUGAGGCAAUGGAUGUGUAGGGCCUGGCUCAGAGAAGGGGAUUCCAUGAAAAUGCAGAACCUGUCUCCUGGGGCCUGGGAGGAGGUAUAAGAAAUGCAGACACAGGGACAGGGCAGGGGCUGCCUGGAAGGCCCUGGGAGAAGCGUGGGGGAAAAUUAGGACUGAGGAAGCAACUGAGAAAGGAAACUGGUCUUCUUGCUUCGGCCUCCAGAAGAUGGGGCCACUUCCUGUGAUGAAAUCAUGUUCUCCAAUCCCCACCAUCUACUGAGUAAGCCAAUGCCAACCUCAUUCUGAGGAGGGAGGGAGCUGAGCCUCCUAACCAGCACAGAGAGUCACCAAUGGUCUCAGCCCCAGUAUCUCGUCCCCACCCACCAGCAGUCACAGGCUGGCAGUGCCCUCGAUUGGAGACGGUCCAGGGACCAUCCUGAGGGUGACUCAUUACUACUCUGGGCCUUAUUUCCCCCCCUGGUCAAGGAAGGCCCCCAAUUAGCCAGGGCUCUCACAGCUGUGGAGGGAAUGACCUAAGGAGCAUUAUAAAAAUACAGCCUCCUGGGGCUUACCCUCCAGAAGGGAGCCAAGGCCCAAGGUUGUGUGGUGCAACUUGGUGGGAGCAUCCAGAAGGAGCAGAAGGCUCUGUGGACUCAGCGAGACUGGAGUUUGAGUCCUGGACCUGCCUCAAGGGUCACUGACCUGAGGCAGGGCUUCUCUGAGCCCUUGGUCUCCUCAUCUGUGGAGUGGAGGACAGAGGGGCCUACCGAUCCAGUCUUGCCUCCUGUGGGUCAGGGCAUGGGCUCCAGAAGGCCCACCCUCACCUCUUAACCCCAGGAAUGGUGUGAGACUGCACAAAAGGAGCUGACCAGGGGAGGGGAAGGAGCCUGGUAGGCCUGGGUCCUGGGCAGGGGAACCCCUGCUGGGAGGGAGAGCGGCCAGGUGCAAGUUGGGUGUCCUUGGUGCCUGGUGCUGGGGUCGAGGCCAUCUGAUCACCAGUGGGUCCCUCCUCCUUCCUCUGGGGAGGCGUUAGCUGGGCAGAGACUCAUGGCUGCCUGUCCUCUGGCUGGAAAAGCCAAAGCUGGUUCUGCUGCAGCCCCUUCACCUGGACGACAGACAGAGGCCAGAAGAUGCACAGAGAGCCAGUAAGAAGGAGAGGUAGAGAGACAGAGACUGACUCCUGAGGAGAGGUGGCCAGGAGCUGAGAUGGGAGAGGCGAGGCCACAGAUGGCCAAGGUGUGGGGUGGCCUUGUGAAGAAAGAACCAUGAACCAUGGCCAUGUGAAGAAAGGCCAUGAACUAUGGCCCUCCAUGUGAAGAAAGAAGUUGGGGGCCUUUCUCACGGCUCCUGUGCACUGACCACAAAGGAGGCGCUUUUGCAAUGUAGAAAAAGAAGAAACCAGAUUGAUAAAGGAAGUGCUGGGUACUCCGGGGGCCCGCGAGUUUGGGGAAGCUCACCCUCCCUUGCUCUUCCGAAGGAACCUGAUCCACGCUUUCCACGUUCCUCUGGACUCCCCGAGGAGGCAUGUCUGUAGGGCCUGCCCUCUGGCCUUGACAGAGCUGCUUGGCUUCUCCUCUCCUGGGAGGAGAGUGAGACCAUGGGUCCGUCCCUGCUGCUGUCCCUGCUGCUGCUGCCGGCAUCUCUGCAGGCUGGCAGCUCAAAAGAAUGCAAUCCAAACACUGACUUUGGGGUCAACCAACCAGCAUCUCUCUCAGCCCCCGAGGGUGGUUCCACCUGCAUCUCUUUCUCCUACUUCCACUGCUGGGAGUUAGCCAAGGAUCCCAGACUGAGUAUAGCCGUCAGAAGGACAGACUUCCCUGGAGAGGUCAUCUACAACAGUACGAAGCGUUUUAUCCAUAAGGAUUACAAGAACCGGAUCUCCCUGGACUUGAGAGAGGGUCAGAACUCCGGCACCCUGUGUAUACGGAACCUGCGGAAAGAAGAUGAGAAUAGGUACUUUUGCCGGGUCCAAGUGGAAACGCUAAGAGACGGCAAACAGGUGUGGCAGUCCAUCCCAGGGACCAAACUCACCAUUACAGACGCUGCCCAGAUGACCACAAUCACCAAGGGCCCUACCACCACUGUCAUCACCACCACCACAAGGGACAUGAAUAUGGAAACUGUGGUCAAGUUGGCACUGCCCAUUGCUGUGUUCAAAACUGCAAUUUUGGGACUGGUUGUCUACCUCUGGUGGAAGAGAAGCAAAGAGGAAAAAAUCACAGUGGUUGUCUCUAGAGUGAGGAUGAGGGUUGGAGAUGAAGAAAAACAUGACAUAGUCACUGAGGAUAUAGAAGACAGUAUUUAAGGAUUCAACUCAGAUGAGAAGCCAUAAACUCUGUAAAGGCAUUGCCUCAUGUUUUUCCUCAUGCAGGAUGAAGUGCAGGAUGACAGCAGCAUCCUCUAUGCCUCCCUCACCCUCUCCAGCUCGUCACCGGCAGCCCCUCCCUGCACCCCUCCCAAGGAGAGCCCGCAGGAGACCUUGUACUCUAUCGGAAAGGCCCAGUGAGCAGGACUGAAUGGGGACUCCCUGAGACUAAGCUGCACAGAAGGUCACAGCUUCUAGUAAUAACCCUGGCCAGACACAGACAAAAGCCAGUGGGUGUGGAAGGCCACCAAGGACCAGAGAGAAACAGAGCCAUCUGCUUCCAUUCCCUCUUCAACUGCCCAGCCCUUGCCCACAAAAAUAAAAGUACUAGUAGGAUUUGCCUGAAGGCACCUAAGGAGAAA
This is an RNA transcript of Felis catus (domestic cat), 4464 nucleotides long. It is a transcript of the gene named paired immunoglobulin-like type 2 receptor beta, with no coding region annotated. Lineage: Eukaryota; Metazoa; Chordata; Mammalia; Carnivora; Felidae. The transcript is spliced from 5 exons. The record is from RefSeq and is a predicted model, not a curated record.